RNAcentral lists this non-coding RNA (30 nucleotides) under Rattus norvegicus (Norway rat). The record is from RNAcentral. Lineage: Eukaryota; Metazoa; Chordata; Mammalia; Rodentia; Muridae.
UAUGUUAAAAGCACCUACUAUGUGCGUGGU